This 5545-nucleotide long non-coding RNA is filed under the name Mytilus galloprovincialis (Mediterranean mussel). The record is from RNAcentral. Lineage: Eukaryota; Metazoa; Mollusca; Bivalvia; Mytilida; Mytilidae.
CACCUGUUGCAUUUUGUAAUGUAAGUACAUUAACAGUAUUUUCAAAUGUAAAUACAUACAUGUAUUUGUGAAGUCAUAAUUGAUAGCAAAGUAAGUGUUGUACCAUUUUAUUAAGCAAAAUGAGAUUUCGAGCUUCAUUUACAUUGUAUCAUGUCUAAGACAUUAGCAUUGUAUAAGUUUUAAACAUAACUGAACAUGCAAUGCCAUAAUAAUAAUGAGAUAUUAUCAAUAUUUUCAUGAUUUUUUAAAACAAUUGUAAGAUGCUUUUUUUUUUUACUCGUGUGGUUGUAUUUACCAUUAGUUGAUUAAUAAAAAUUUAACAACUUCUAGAUAAUUUCAAAUUUUGAUCUUUCUCUGAAAAUAUUUCUAUCAAAACUUUUUAUUUUUAACACUGUCAUGACUGUAUAAUACUAUGUAAAUGGUAAAAAUCAAAUAUCGUCAUAAUAAAAUUAUACACAAUGCUUUUCAAUAUUAAAAUGAUAGCAUACGCAGCACAUAUAUGACUUUGGAAUACCGUACGACAUUUCUUGUUAAUAGUGAAUAAAAAGGUAAGACUUGCUACACAGAGAAACAAGUAAUCCGUAUGAUGGAGUUUCUAAUUGAUAACUAUUGUUGAGUUUGGAGGUAGGCUUAUUCAGCAAAUUGUCAAAAACUAAAGAAAUCCAGGAAGGCUUGAUCAUUUAAUUUCACAUUCAGAUAUAUUGGUAAUGUCAUUUUCAUGAACUAUCCAAACUUUUCUGAUUUUGAUUUUAAAAUUACCAACUUCCGACACCUAAGUAGCAAUAUACCUAUUUCACCUGCAUAUGGUUUAAUCAUUGUUCAACUCAUUCGGUAUUCAAGAGCUUGCAGUUGCUACUCAGACUUUAUAUAAGUGUGUGAACAGAAAGUUGCCGAACCAGGGUAAUGUCAAAGAACGUCUUGUCCAUUUUUUAAAUAGUUCAUUGGAAGAUACCAAGACCUUCUUAAUAAAUAUUCCGUAAGCGGUGACAAACAAUACAUGGUGGUCUUCGAGUAUAGAUACUUACGUUAUUUAUCAUCUUAAUAACGUAUUUUAGUCUUCCUUUAUGUACAUUGUAUUUUUGUUAAUUAAUAACCUUGUGUAAGUCCGUUUUGGUAAAAUAAAUAUCCUUUUGCAGUGAAUCGGUACUUAUACAUCCCACCAUUGUGUUAUUGUGCUGUGGCCGUUAUUUUUCUUAUCAUUGUCGUUAAUUUUUGCCUAUAAUACUUGCCUAUAUGUAAUGAUGUUUUGUUUUUUUACAUAUUUGUUUGUUACUAUUAUAGUGAUGAAGAUUAUAAUACAAUGUUGACUGAUGUAUCUCUUUUAUUUGCAUUUUUACCUUUUAUGUCUUUCCAUUUUGAUUACAUAAUGUUGUCAAUGGAAUGACAUUAUAUUCCACUGUCAAACAAGUGAAAUAUUUAGCUAGCUAUACAACGAAAUGCUUGUUCCAAGUCAGGAAUGUGACAGUUGUUUUCAAUUUGAUUGGUGACUUUGAUAUUUUGAUUUUGUCAUUUGAAGAGGGAAUUCCCGAUUUAAAUUUUCCUUGGAGCUCGGUAUUUUUGUUGAAUUACUUUUUUUAAUCCUUAAGAAAAGAAUGAUCCAAAAAGAACAGUUAAAACUUACUGAAGUAAAAGUGAAAUUUGCCUAACAAAAUAGCAAUGAUUGUUAUAGACUGGCGAAAGAAACAAAAGUGACAUUCAAACUCAUUAAUCGAAAAUAAUAGAUAUCGAGCAUUGUUUUUUCUUCUUGAAGUUGUUUGAAUAGUUGUAUUGUGCUACACAUUCUUGUCGGAUGUUAUGCUUUUGAGCUUUGUCUACUUGUACUAUUAUCAAAAUUUGAUAUGUUUGACUUUAUAUAAAAUGGUUUUGAAAUAUUAAGAAUGUAAUUUUUCAUUUUGCCAUUUGAUUUGGGACUUUCCGUUUUGAGUUUUCCUCGGAGCUCUGUAUUUUUGUUAUUUUACUUUUUUCCUAGUUAUAAUGUCUCGCAUUGAUAGACGUUAAACUUAUUUUACAGUUGAUUUGACUUUCUUUUAUCAAUUUGAAGUAUUUUUUACAAGAAAAUAUGUUGUGAAUGAAAUCAACUUAAACAGUCAGCUCGUUUUCUUUGAAUUGGUAUUUAAAUGACAUUUUAAAGUGAUUUUUUUUCAAGGAAUUCAGUUAAUUUAUAUAAUGCAAGCAAUUUGUGAGUCGUUAUGUAUAGACAUUUUAAGACUAAUGUAAAUUGAAAGUCUAACAAAAAAAAGAGAAAAAGAAACUCAUUACUUUGAUUUCAAAUAUUGAAUUUUAUCAGGGACAAACUAUUUUUAAAAAGGUGUAUAUUUAUUGUAGAGAACUAAAGAAGAAGAAUGACAGUGUUUCUUGGUUUAGCCGUUUGCCUGUUGUUGGUGUACGUGGUAGAUAAGAAAAUAAGAACCUCUUUCAGAUUUAACGAAUGAUUGAUUGUAAUUUGAAAAUGCGGUUUCUCUCGGAAAGAGUCUUAUAUACAGAAAAACGAUUUCAUAUGAAUGGCUGGAGAAUUCUUUUGAUUAUUUCACAGUGAGAAAUAAAAUUCUGUAUUGACAUUGUUUUUGUCUUGUCUUGUCUUGUCUUGUCUUGUUUUUACAUUUGUUUUUUAUACCGUAACAUGCGUUAGUUUUUGACCGCAUUAUAACUGUUUUUGUUUCGUCGAUUUCUAAAUAAAUGAUUAUGAAUAUGAAUGAGAAAGAUAAUAGGUAAUAGGUAAUACGCAUAUGAAGCAGCAACCAACACAAACAUUUAAACAACAUCUAGUAAUUAAUGUGACCAUGAUAAUGUUUAUUCUGUUAACUGCAAUCUCACUGUUGGUAUUAAAAGCAUAAUAAUUCAAGUAAUCUCUUUUUAUCUUCUUUUAUGUACCUUUAUGUAACUUUGUAAGUCCAUUCAUCGUUAGGACAAGGCGUCGGUUGAAAUAGAAAAAAGUCAACCCCCGCCACUUUAUUUGUAUGUCCCCAGUCAGGAACUGGAAGUCGUAGCUAAAUAUUGUUUUUUUUUUGUUUUUUUUUUAUUUGACGAAUUAAGUGUUGAACGUUGGUCUCUAAUUGUUUCAGUUAAAUUGAUUCUCGUCUGUUAUGAACUUCAGAGUUUCACAAAUUGUGAAGAAAUUUAUAUACUGUUGAAGCCUGCAUGCUAAGCCGUAGAGGUCAUGUUUACUUAUUGGGACGACGUACAAUUGACGUAUAGACAACACCUCCUUCCAAGUCUCUUUUUAUUAUUAUUUCUUUUAGGAAAGGGGGUACAGUGAUGAGGGGAAUGACAAUUUGAGAAAUGCAAAAAAGGGGAAUGAUCCCUCUUUUACUCAAACCAAAAACAGAUAUGAAACAGACCGUUACUCUACAGACAAAAUUGAGAAUUAAAAUGUGUCAAAGAGACGACAAUUCGACCAAAGAGCUGAAAACAACCCCAGGCCACAAAUGGCUCUUUAACAAAGCCAGUAAACCUGCACCCGGAGGCGGGUUUUAGCUGGCUGUUUAACAAAAAUGUGUACUAGUUCAGAGAAAAUGGACGUCACACUAAACUCACAAACAUAUAGAUGAAUCAAAAUUUAAAAAAAAAACAUACAAAACUAACAAAAGCCAGAGGUUCCUGACUAAGAACAGGCGCAAAUAUGCGUCAGGGUUUAACAUGUUUUGUGAGAUCUCAACCCUCCCAAUACUUCUAGCCAAUGUAGUAUAAAUAAAACACACAGCAAAACGCACAGUAAAACUCAGUUAAAAAGAAGUCCCGAGUCCGAUGUUAGAAUAGGGAACAGAAGAAACUAAGCAAAUUGCAAUGAUCAAAUUGACAAAGGAUUACUAGCAGUUACUGACAUGCCAGCUCCAGAACUGAAUUAAACUAUUUGUAUCAAAAGCAAGCACAAUUCCUCCCUCUAGAUGUUUAUUUCGUACACUAAUCAUAACAGGGUAAUGUCUUUUCAGUUUUGUUGACGUAUGACAAAAAAAUGUAUAACCGGGUCAUGUUAUUGUAUAUAAACAAUACUUUACUUCCGGUCAGCAUGGCAAACGAAGAACUGUUUGAAAACAAUAGCUUUUUUCAUAAGAAAGUGGAGUCGUAUCGCUUGAUUAUUCGAGUUAAUGUAGUGAAGACUCGGUUUGAAGCAAAUGUUAUUGCAAACAAUUAAAAACCAUAGAACUUGCCCCUUUGAAAUAUAUGCACCGGAAUCAUAAACGUAACAUGCAUAUUGUCUUGUUUGUAUUGUAGAUUAUAAUAUCUUUCUUAACAAUACAAAGGCGUGAUUCAUCAAUAUUCUUAGUUGAAAAUUAAUUUCCAACAAAUUAAAUCAGAAAUGCAAUGGUAAAACAUUUUCUAGAAAUAUUCCUUGCGACGUAUAGAUGAAUACCAAAGUUACAAUAAUUAAAAUAUUCUACAAUUUUGCGUAAAACUAAGAAUGAAAAUAAAUAUAACAAAGCGACAAUACAACAACAUACACCUCGAUGGUAAAGAAAAGACAAAAACACCAGUCCUUAAAAAUUUACAAAUGAGCAUAACAUACCCUACUUAAACUGGAGAUGAACUCUUGUGCUUCGGAUAAUAUUGGAUAAGUGAAAAGUUAAUUCACAGUUCGCUAUGCAAUUGUCGUGUUUCUAGUUGCAAUCAAAAGGCAUUUAAUAAGAAACUAUUGCUUUGAUGAUGUGAAAAAUAAGCAUAUGUGCCAAUAAAAUAGCCACAAACAAGAAAAUCACACAAACAAAACCAGCUCUAAAUCAGUUGUAGAAAAGUUGUUGAUAAAAUCAAUUAAGAUGAUUAAAGAUCUGCUAUCCGUCUGUAAACUUCAAACAGAAUCAAGCACACAUCAAUUGAUAAGCAACAUAAAAACAAGAAUUGAUUUCAAUCAAGUAUUAUUUGUAUCACACUUGAUUGAAACCGUUGCUGGUUAACUAUACGCAUCCACGAAUGCAUCAUCAGCUCAGUAUUCAGUAACUUUUCUACUUUUACCUUUCUAAAAUUGACCGUUCAUUUAUGUAACCCUCAAUAAGUUUUUUUCAAUUAAAUGUUCAUAAAUCAAAAAAUUAUUAAGAAAUUUAGUUUCAAACUCCGGCAAAGUAGGUCUCUUUUCAACAUAUACUUUCAUAUAGUUUUUUGUAGCGUUCCUAAAGAAGACAAGUUACAUUUGUCUCUAUACAACUAAAUGAUAUAUAUCUCCUUCAGAAUGUAGUCUCAAAAAUGUUGAUAGUUAUUAUAAUAGAUAAUGCUAUUAGAACUAAUACAUUACGCGGUCCUGCAACAAACGAUGCAAUAUCGAUUUCUACCUGAAGUAAUAUGCACACGUAAACACUGAUGUCACCAUAUUGAACGUAUUUAUCCUACUUAUUUUUUUGUUUUUGUUGUAGGCUUGUAAAAAGACAGGGGUGUAACGAACCAUGCAAAAGUAUACAUAACCAUCAUUGCUGUAAGGGUUGGUAUUGCCAUCACCGUAUAUGUGCGCCCAUACAUGUCUAGUGAGUUCGUGAUCCAUUAUCUACAGGGCCUAGCAAUAUUAACAGAACCAUUGAAAUGUAAUCUGUUAUGAGACGUGUAAAAAUUAAUAUCGGAC